Molecule: ribosomal RNA, 376 nt
Filed under: uncultured bacterium
Lineage: Bacteria
Description: bacterial SSU rRNA
Rfam family: Bacterial small subunit ribosomal RNA
Source: RNAcentral
ACUCCUACGGGAGGCAGCAGUGGGGAAUAUUGCACAAUGGGGGAAACCCUGAUGCAGCCAUGCCGCGUGUGUGAAGAAGGCCUUCGGGUUGUAAAGCACUUUCAGUAGGGAGGAAGGUAGUGUAGUUAACACCUGCACUAUUUGACGUUACCUACAGAAGAAGCACCGGCUAACUCCGUGCCAGCAGCCGCGGUAAUACGGAGGUGCGAGCGUUAAUCGGAAUUACUGGGCGUAAAGCGCAUGCAGGCGGCCUGUUAAGUCAGAUGUGAAAGCCCGGGGUCUUAACCGUCGGUAAUUGCAUUUGAAACUGGCAGGCUAGAGUCUUGUAGGAGGGGUUAGAAUUUCGAGGUGUAGCGGUGAAAUGCGUAGAGAUCUG